This is a small nucleolar RNA of Phragmites australis (common reed), 139 nucleotides long. RefSeq annotates it as small nucleolar RNA Z247. The transcript has a single exon. Lineage: Eukaryota; Viridiplantae; Streptophyta; Magnoliopsida; Poales; Poaceae. The record is from RefSeq and is a predicted model, not a curated record.
CCUCUCGACGAAGAAGAAUUGAUCGCAUACAUGCUACGCGGGCUUGGAAGCGAGUACGACUCCCUGGUAACCAGCAUCACGACCCACACUGACUCCUACACGCUCAGCGACGUCUAUGCCCACAUUCUGAGCUACGAGA